UGGGGAAUAUUGCACAAUGGGCGCAAGCCUGAUGCAGCCAUGCCGCGUGUGUGAAGAAGGCCUUCGGGUUGUAAAGCACUUUCAGCGAGGAGGAAGGUGGUGAGCUUAAUACGCUCAUCAAUUGACGUUACUCGCAGAAGAAGCACCGGCUAACUCCGUGCCAGCAGCCGCGGUAAUACGGAGGGUGCAAGCGUUAAUCGGAAUUACCGGGCGUAAAGCGCACGCAGGCGGUUUGUUAAGUCAGAUGUGAAAUCCCCGGGCUCAACCUGGGAACUGCAUUUGAAACUGGCAAGCUAGAGUCUCGUAGAGGGGGGUAGAAUUCCAGGUGUAGCGGUGAAAUGCGUAGAGAUCUGGAGGAAUACCGGUGGCGAAGGCGGCCCCCUGGACGAAGACUGACGCUCAGGUGCG
This 408-nucleotide ribosomal RNA is filed under the name uncultured bacterium. Its description in RNAcentral is "partial 16S ribosomal RNA". It matches the Rfam family "Bacterial small subunit ribosomal RNA", at positions 355 to 755 of the family's 1533-position model. The record is from RNAcentral.